This 244-nucleotide long non-coding RNA is filed under the name Homo sapiens (human). RNAcentral's name for it is "HSALNT0297497". The record is from RNAcentral. Lineage: Eukaryota; Metazoa; Chordata; Mammalia; Primates; Hominidae.
GCACACAGCCCCCAAGCCAGAGCCUCAGUGGGGCCACAUUCCCACACCACCUGUCUCACAUCCAGCAUCAGCCACAGCAUGUCCAGACCUACUGCCUCCAGCACAAAGAGCACCCCAGCCUCCUCAUGCUCCUCCUUCCCCAGGGCCUUGCCUGCGACCCAUCCCGAGGCACUGGAACGACAAAGACCCCUACCACCUGCAAGUGGAAGGAAAAGCAAAAACAAGAUACCCCUUUGUAUCCCUA